Molecule: ribosomal RNA, 468 nt
Filed under: uncultured bacterium
Lineage: Bacteria
Description: partial 16S ribosomal RNA
Rfam family: Bacterial small subunit ribosomal RNA
Source: RNAcentral
GACGAACGCUGGCGGCGUGCUUAACACAUGCAAGUCGAACGGAAAGGCCCUGCUUUUGUGGGGUGCUCGAGUGGCGAACGGGUGAGUAACACGUGAGUAACCUGCCCUUGACUUUGGGAUAACUUCAGGAAACUGGGGCUAAUACCGGAUAGGAGCUCCUGCUGCAUGGUGGGGGUUGGAAAGUUUCGGCGGUUGGGGAUGGACUCGCGGCUUAUCAGCUUGUUGGUGGGGUAGUGGCUUACCAAGGCUUUGACGGGUAGCCGGCCUGAGAGGGUGACCGGCCACAUUGGGACUGAGAUACGGCCCAGACGCCAACGGGAGGCAGCAGUGGGGAAUAUUGCACAAUGGGCGGAAGCCUGAGGCAGCAGCGCCGCGGUCGGGAUGACGGCCUUCGGGUUGUAAACCGCUUCCGCCUGUGACGAAGCGUGAGUGACGGUAAUGGAUAAAGAAGCACCGGCUAACUACGUG